RNAcentral lists this ribosomal RNA (497 nucleotides) under uncultured bacterium. RNAcentral describes it as "partial 16S ribosomal RNA". It matches the Rfam family "Bacterial small subunit ribosomal RNA", at positions 28 to 523 of the family's 1533-position model. The record is from RNAcentral.
GAUGAACGCUGGCGGCGUGCUUAACACAUGCAAGUCGAACGAAGCAUUUGCGACAGAUUUCUUCGGAUUGAAGUUGCUUAUGACUGAGUGGCGGACGGGUGAGUAACGCGUGGGUAACCUGCCUCAUACAGGGGGAUAGCAGCUGGAAACGGCUGGUAAUACCGCAUAAGCGCACAGUACCACAUGGUACAGUGUGAAAACCUCCGGUGGUAUGAGAUGGACCCGCGUCUGAUUAGCUAGUUGGUGAGGUAACGGCCCACCAAGGCGACGAUCAGUGGCCGACCUGAGAGGGUGACCUGCCACAUUGGGACUGAGACACGGCCCAGACUCCUACGGGAGGCAGCAGUGGGGAAUAUUGCACAAUGGAGGAAACUCUGAUGCAGCGACGCCGCGUGAGUGAAGAAGUAGUUCGCUAUGUAAAGCUCUAUCAGCAGGGAAGAUAGUGACGGUACCUGACUAAGAAGCUCCGGCUAAAUACGUGCCAGCCGCCGCCGUAA